GCCGGCUAGCUCAGUCGGUAGAGCAUGGGACUCUUAAUCCCAGGGUCAU
RNAcentral lists this transfer RNA (49 nucleotides) under Felis catus (domestic cat). RNAcentral's name for it is "Lysine transfer RNA". Lineage: Eukaryota; Metazoa; Chordata; Mammalia; Carnivora; Felidae. The record is from RNAcentral.